CAGUAUUCCCUAAUUAUACAAACUUGGCUUCAAUGCUGAGAAUGUGGUUCGAGUUGGCAUGCUCGUACUUAUUUACUUUGUAGUUGACCACCUGUGGUGAAGCGUGCAGUUUCACCCGGACUCUAUGCAGCCCCGUCUGCCUGUGGUAGAGCGUUCAGUUCUGCCCGGUCUCCAAUGUGGUCAUCUGCCUGUGACGGAGCGCGCAGUUUCGUCCAAUCAUAUUCAGCGACUUUGUUCGCCUGUGGUGGAGCGCGCAGUUUCACCCACACCCCCCCUGCGUGUGGGCGCGGGGGGGUUUGGUUCAUAGCAACAAACUUGGGCUAUGCCUGACUGUUGUGGUCUAAGCAUAGUCCCCCCUUUGACCGGGGUGUCUGCCUGUCUGAAGCCUCUGGGGUGCUCGCGACUAUUUGGUUGCUAGUCCACUUCGGGGGUGACGGGUUGUGCUGUCGAGUGAGGCAGUGCUAGGCUUAAAGAGUGGUGUCUAGGCUACGGCCAGCCCACCGCCCUGGAUGUUUUUGUUUCCAACAUUUUACACUGUUCAAGUGGUUCGAAUCGGCUUUGUCGUUUUGUUCCAUUGCCCCAACAUGCACCCGGUCUUGUACUGGACUGCAUGUGCAGUCGCCUGGAGGUGCCUUAUCCCGGGCUGGACUGAGAAACUUUAUCUCGGGUUUUCGGUCAUGCGCCGGAUUCUCGGGUUAC
This 699-nucleotide ribosomal RNA is filed under the name Digenea gen. sp. Lineage: Eukaryota; Metazoa; Platyhelminthes; Trematoda. The record is from RNAcentral.